CGGGGAGUAGCUCAGCCAGAGAGAGCGCCUGAUUUCCACCCAGGAGGCCGCGCGUGCAAAUCGCGUCUCCCCGA
Molecule: transfer RNA, 74 nt
Filed under: Kouleothrix aurantiaca
Lineage: Bacteria; Bacillati; Chloroflexota; Chloroflexia; Chloroflexales; Roseiflexaceae
Rfam family: tRNA
About the family: Transfer RNA (tRNA) molecules are approximately 80 nucleotides in length. Their secondary structure includes four short double-helical elements and three loops (D, anti-codon, and T loops). Further hydrogen bonds mediate the characteristic L-shaped molecular structure. tRNAs have two regions of fundamental functional importance: the anti-codon, which is responsible for specific mRNA codon recognition, and the 3' end, to which the tRNAs corresponding amino acid is attached (by aminoacyl-tRNA synthetases). tRNAs cope with the degeneracy of the genetic code in two manners: having more than one tRNA (with a specific anti-codon) for a particular amino acid; and 'wobble' base-pairing, i.e. permitting non-standard base-pairing at the 3rd anti-codon position.
Source: Rfam by way of RNAcentral